This 1557-nucleotide long non-coding RNA is filed under the name Helianthus annuus (common sunflower). RNAcentral's name for it is "hypothetical non coding rna". Lineage: Eukaryota; Viridiplantae; Streptophyta; Magnoliopsida; Asterales; Asteraceae. The record is from RNAcentral.
UUUUUACUUUCCUUCUCAAGUUUCUUUCCAUCUCCAUCAGAGAAUAAGCAAUAUUUCCUGCAAAUCAUGGUUUUCUAAAGCUCUAAUUUGCAUACUGAUCAUGGGUUUCUAAACAUAUUAGAAGUCUUUGCUACUCAUGAUUAUUCCUAGAUCAUCAAAUCGGUUGUGUUUGUGGGAAAUUGGAAGCUAAUCAACAUCUCUAUCUCUAACUUCCCCGUCAACGCUUCAUCACACAAUUGCCUCAUUUAUCGUUGAUCUAGGUCUAGCUGUCGUCUUCUCUACCUACCUUUCCUGAUUCUAACUUAACAACUCUAAUGGAAGAGUUGAUGGCAGCUGACAAGUACACCCAUUUGGCAGCUAUUCGAUUUGUUUCUUUAAAAUGGUAAACACACGCCUCAAUUUCUUCGCAAUUAGUUCGGCUUUGUGAUUAUUAUAACUGGAUACGCACCAAGUGUUUGAAUAAAUGCCUGGCUGAAUUGUAAUUGCAUUCACCUUUUUUGCUUUCUUUUCCAAGUAUGGUACGUGUUGAGUGUUUCUGAUGAGAUUCUAAUUAGGUUAAUUUAAGUGCAACUUGGUUCAGUUUUACAUGGUUUUGGUUCUGUUUAUUGGUUUAAUUGACUUGAAAUCCAAUAACAAUAACAAGUUACAUUUUAAAUUGAGUAAUGGGUCAGACUACAUAAACCCAACAAACUACAAUUGACAAUGUUGUUAGACGUUUGACCCAUUUUAGCUUUGAUUUUUAUUUUUGCUUACAAAUUGGACUUUAUCUUCAACUGUUAAGAAAAAUUGAUUUACUUUGCUGCAGUAGGAUAUGAGUUGAAUGCUCGAAAUGUGAUUUACUUUGUUGUGGUAGGAUAUGACUUGAACACUUGGAAUGUAAAUUGAAUUAUAGAGGCCGAUUUUUACUUAAUUUAUUGUAUGGACUUUUACAUUUUAUGUAUGUUGAUAUUAUAUAAAGACUGCAGCCAAUAAGGGAUCUCUUUGUGCUAAUAUGCAAGUAGAAUAAAAAACUAGACAAACUGAAUCAAAUAUGUUAUGUAUGCAGUAUAAAUACCAUGUUAUUGAUUCUUUAUUAUGUUUUUCUUUACAUAGGAAGAUCUAGCUAUGAAGAAGAUAAGUAGGGUUAACACGGAUGCACACCGUAUGAAACGUUUUUGUAUGUUAAAAUGGUAAUUUAUGUUCCUGUAUGAUUGACACGGAUGCUACACUAUAUAAAAUGUUUUUGCAUGUUAAAAUGAAAAUUUAUGUUCCAACAUUAGGAUAAACAACUAUGAAUUGUGUAUGCUUCCAGCUGCUAAUAGUCUUAUCUCACCGUCCCGCCGCAACGCGCGAGCAAAUUACUAGUAUAUACAUAUAUAUAAAGAAAAUUAAUCGGGUUCAGAUAUCGUAAUAAAAAAAUAAAUUAAAGUAAAUUUCAAAUUCAUAAUACAGUACGUCAGUCAUCAUUAGAAAUGGAAAACAUAAAUACAAUAUCUCUAUAGUUAAGGCUUUACAAGUUUUCAUUUUCUGAAAGUUAGCCAUUACAUAUGUACAUAAACAUUCCUAAACAACAUUUUU